This 152-nucleotide ribosomal RNA is filed under the name uncultured fungus. Its description in RNAcentral is "partial 5.8S ribosomal RNA". It matches the Rfam family "5.8S ribosomal RNA". From Rfam's summary of the family: 5.8S ribosomal RNA (5.8S rRNA) is a component of the large subunit of the eukaryotic ribosome. It is transcribed by RNA polymerase I as part of the 45S precursor that also contains 18S and 28S rRNA. Functionally, it is thought that 5.8S rRNA may be involved in ribosome translocation. The record is from RNAcentral. Lineage: Eukaryota; Fungi.
AACUUUUACAACGAUCUCUUGGCUCUCGCAUCGAUGAAGUACGCAGCGAAAUCCGAUAAGUAAUGUGAAUUGCAGAAUUCAGUGAAUCAUCGAAUCUUUGGACGCACCUUGCGCUCCUUGGUAUUCCGAGGAGCAAGCCUGUUUGAGUGUCA